GUGGUAAUGCCGGAUGCUCCAGCUGAUCGCAUGGUCUUCUGGGAAAGCCUUUGCGGCAUGGGAUGGGGUCGCGUCCUAUCAGCUUGAUGGCGGGGUAACGGCCCACCAUGGCUUCGACGGGUAGCCGGCCUGAGAGGGCGACCGGCCACAUUGGGACUGAGAUACGGCCCAGACUCCUACGGGAGGCAGCAGUGGGGAAUAUUGCACAAUGGGCGCAAGCCUGAUGCAGCGACGCCGCGUGAGGGAUGGAGGCCUUCGGGUUGUAAACCUCUUUUGUUAGGGAGCAAGGCAUUUUGUGUUGAGUGUACCUUUCGAAUAAGCACCGGCUAACUACGUGCCAGCAGCCGCGGUAAUACGUAGGGUGCAAGCGUUAUCCGGAAUUAUUGGGCGUAAAGGGCUCGUAGGCGGUUCGUCGCGUCCGGUGUGAAAGUCCAUCGCUUAACGGUGGAUCCGCGCCGGGUACGGGCGGGCUUGAGUGCGGUAGGGGAGACUGGAAUUCCCGGUGUAACGGUGGAAUGUGUAGAUAU
Molecule: ribosomal RNA, 527 nt
Filed under: Bifidobacterium breve
Lineage: Bacteria; Bacillati; Actinomycetota; Actinomycetes; Bifidobacteriales; Bifidobacteriaceae
Description: bacterial SSU rRNA
Rfam family: Bacterial small subunit ribosomal RNA
Source: RNAcentral